This 1296-nucleotide long non-coding RNA is filed under the name Equus asinus (donkey). RNAcentral describes it as "lncRNA (ENSEASG00005038055.1)". Lineage: Eukaryota; Metazoa; Chordata; Mammalia; Perissodactyla; Equidae. The record is from RNAcentral.
UGGACUUCUCCUAACGCAGGAUGUGCUUUGUGCAUUAGAGCCUGUGGCAUUUGGGGAAGCGCGUGUGGGGCGAGGACAGAGCUGGGAGAACGUGCAAGGCUGUGCAGCUGAGGGAUCUGACUCAGAGACAACUGCAGAAACCCGAGCGUGGAGGCGUGACAUGGGAGUCUGAGUGGCCACCUGUUGUGCAGAUCACACCAGCCGCUCCCGCGGUGGGACCAGGCGCUGGGUCAGGGUCAGCGACGGGAUGUGCAACAGAUAAUGCUUUGCAGCUCAUACGACACCCAAUCAGCAUGACCCCCAGGGGUCCUGGAGCCAGCUUGGGCUGGAGAGUGCCCCGGUGCCCAUCUCCUCCCACCUCCGCUCCCAGUGAUGGUAAAUCGGCUGCAUCUACUCCACGGAAAUUAACAAAUGCUACAGAUCAGUCCUGAGCCCUCUGAGGGCGGGUUGUUGCCCACGUGCCAGCACACCACUGAUUCACUAAAAAGUUAGGCCCUUCUCGCCCGCCCCGCCGGCUCUCUCUGCUGGGAGGCGUGCUCCUGCAUUUCCCAGCUGGGAGCUGUCCUAGGAGAGUGGUCCAGAGAACCAGAGGCCGGCUGCACAGAAGACGCAUUCGCCUUGAGUGAUGAUUCACCUGCAGGUGCUUCAGAGCGUGGAGCCAAAAGAUAGAUUCACCCUUGGAGGGCAACGUUUGCUUGCAAUGUCUAGCUUUAUGGAGGAUAGAAACUGUGAAUUUUAAAAGCCAAGGACAGCACGUGGAAAAUCUGUGAAGCCCUUUCAUUCUCUUAUCUCCGAGGAGCUGGUGAGGAGAUGUUGAUAAACGGUGGAUUCAGACACAUGCAGCUCCUGGGCCAAUGGGAUCAUCCAGGCAGGCUUGGGGGCACCCUCUCUACUGGCAGCAAAUCAUUUCUGGGCUCAGCUGUUGCCAUCUUUGCUGCAGAACACAGCGGAGCCUGCGGUGAACAGAUUAGCUGAACUCCAAAGAUUGCACAUGCAUUUUCAUGGGCAUGGUUUUUCAAAAUACCCUUUUCACUGAAGAAUAACAUACAAACAGAGAAGUUCACAAAUCAUGAAUGUACAGCUUGAUGCAUUUACAAAAGGGGACACGCCCAUGAAACCACCAUCCAGAUGAAGACACAGAACAUUAACGGGGCCCCCCGAGCUCCCUGGUUCCCCUCCCCUCACUGAUGUCCUCAAAGGGAACCACUAUUCUGAGUCCCGUUACCAUCAAUGAGUUCCGUCUGGGUUUGAACUUUACAUAAACGAAAUCAUACAGUGCAUCCUCCUUUGUGUCUG